Long non-coding RNA from Scatophagus argus, 823 nucleotides. RefSeq lists it as uncharacterized. The record is from RefSeq and is a predicted model, not a curated record. Lineage: Eukaryota; Metazoa; Chordata; Actinopteri; Scatophagidae. The transcript is spliced from 3 exons.
UGGGAGGAGACUGCUUAAAAGCGGGUAGAGAGCACCUGUCUUCCUUUUUUGGCUUGUCAGAGGCUGGGUCGUAGCACUUCCUGGCAUUCCCCCAGUUCCGUCCUGGCGUGGUGGUAGAGGCCAUUGGGGGUGCGCUAUGCUCCACUGAUUGCUCGCUGCGGGUUGUUUCUGUGCAGCGUUUAUUCCUCUCCUCCACGCUGUGUCGUCCAGGACUGCCUGAUUGGGGGAAGUAUAAUCCAGCUGCUGCGCAGUGUCGGCCGAUCAGCGAGGGAAACCACUGCUGCUUUGCCGGGGAUUGUUGGCUGCAACCGCGGCUAACAGCUUUGCCUCAUACCGGAGAUCGUUGGCUGUAACAGCGACUAACUGCUCUGCCUCAUACCGGAGAUCGUUGGCUGUAACAGCGACUAACUGCUCUGCCUCAUACCGGAGAUUGUCGUUGGUGACAGAGAUUGCCCGCUUCCGCUUUGCGCUGGAUACGGCGUGCCGUCAGCGGGAUUAACUGCUUGUCUCGCCUUGGGCUCGAUUGCUUCGCCCCGGGCCUGCGCCGUCCCACUGCAGCCGGCUUGGCCUCUGGCUGGCCGUUCGGCUGGUUGGAGCUUCUCCCUGCGGUGUAGCCGAUAUACAUCCAUAUGUAUAUGUUUGCGUGCACUAUUGUGUGCGUGUGUGUGUGUAUGGCGACGAGUGAGUAGCGGGAGAUUAUUCUGGUGUGUGUGUAUGUGUUUAUAGUUUCGUUUUUUCCUUUUCGUUUGUUUUAUUUUCUUGGUUAGUGGUUGUUUGUUUUUCUUUUUAUAACCUGUUGAUUUUUGUGGUUUCCCCCAUUCAG